CAAAUUGGCUCCUUGGCGGCAUCAUCCUAAAUUCAUCAAAAAUUAAAAUCUCAGUCUUGCACAAAACCCAUCCAAAAUCUUAACUGCUUCGUGCUCAUUUUAUUCACCUCUUGUUGUCUUCUACUUUUCUCUCCUACCCGAAUCUCUCUUCUUCUCUCAUCUCCUUCUCUCCCGUCCCCAUUCUGGAUCUCUCGUCCUCAAAUCUCUAUCUUUCUCCUCCUUGCGCGUCGAUAUUUAACGGAUAUGGUGGUGAUACGGGCGACGGUGUCGACGAUGAUGGAGGUUCUUUUGGCUCUUCAAUUUCAUGCUUGGGGUUCGGAUUUUUUGGGUUUUUUGGAGAAAUCAAAGGAAUAUUGUCGACGUUGUAGCAGAUUAAAGAGGAAGCCAAAAGAAGAAUGAAGAGCCGAUGUCUAGGUUUGGUUUGGUUUCAUUCUUUAAUUGUUGAAUUUCUGAAGUGAAGUUAUGUUAAUUACAUGAAAUAUUCUAAAUAGUAAUUACUACCAAAAUGUAAUUUAUAGCUUCUAAAGUGAUUUCACAUUGAAUUUCAAAUGUUGACGACCUUGACCUUUUAGCUGACGAUUAGUCAAAAAAAUUAAUGUCGACUUCUGCAAACGUAAUUGAUUAUACGCUCUUGAAAAAAUACAGCAAGAACAUAGGAAUUCAAUGUAUCGAAAUCGAAAACCAUCCUUGCAAAUAUGACAAAUUUGGAAAUCAAAUUGAAGAAAAUUAAAUCUCUCAAAAAUAAAACGCUUGCAUUUUUAAAUUCAAAGAAUUUACUAUAGAAGAAAACAAUACACAAUAACAACUAAAUCAAAACAUGAAGAAAAAUAUGAUUAGCAACCCGAAAAUUUUCAAUUUUCAUCUCGCAGUUUGAUUUUUUAUUUAGAUCUCAUAUAUGCUUUGACAUUCAAUUCUUAGUCAUUUGAUCUUUGAUUUCAUUCUCUAUUGGUGAAAGUGAUGGGAAAAUUAAGGUAUUAGAUUUUGAAAUAUUUUCUUUUUAUUUUUUAAUUUAAUAAAUCGAGAUGAUCUUGUACAUCUUUGGGUUUUUUGGGUAUGUUCUUCUUCCAUUUCUCUCAUUAUGUUUUAACUGUUGCCUUGAUUUGCAUAAUAUAUAAGUUUAAAUAUUAGGUUUUCUAAAUUAAAUUCUGAUUUAGGCUUAGAUCUUAGGGUUUUUCAUAAUUGGGUUUGAGUUUUUUAUGAAAAUAUUUUUUUUCUUCAUAAUUUGAUUUUUCUGCUUAAAUUGACGACCUGGGUAGCCUGAGGCAGGUAUUUCAACUUUCAUUCUUUUCAAGUUUCUCUAAAGAUUGAGCUUGAGCAAAACUCAAAUUUGGUGGGUUUAGUUUAUGUUAUGACUGGGUAUUUGAAGCUCAUUAUAGCACAAGUUCCAUACGGAGAGCUAAAUUUACUCUUUAAUUUGGAGGUUUGAAAAUGUAAGGUAGUCCUGAUAUUUAUGUGUUUGUGUGUGUAUAUGUUAUACAAAAGAUGUGAAUUUUUAUUACAUAUUUACGAAUUGCAUUAUACUACGUAAUAGUGCUAACUUGUUAUUAACGCAUGUGAAUAAAGUAAAAUAAUUUACUCUCUUGUCCUACAUGAUCUUUUACAGUUGUACAAAUCAAAGAAAAGAGAGUGCGAGAGGGAAUCUAUACUUAAAUGAAAAGAAAAGACAAUAUAUGACCUAUAAAAGAGGGCAGCGUAUCUAUUGGAUGUGUGGCAGUUGACACGAGCCAAAGAUUAGAGGAAAACCAACUCAAUAAGAUGUUAUUCUACUUCAGGCAUGUAAUCUUUCUAGUUAUUCAUCUUCACCGCGGUUGAAAAUAUUAUUGUAGAAUGAUGAGGAAACAACAUUAGCCCUUGGGUUACCAUUUCAUUACCACCUCCAAUAUCAUUUCUAUUGUUGCCACACGUAUCGAAGUUAUUGUUCGUGGUGAUAGACUCUGCACUUUGCAGUAGAGGUGUAUCUGCAAAGCCAAAGUAAUGGCUUUGAGGAUUUUUCCUGAUCCUAAAUUUAGUUACCUUGUUGUAUAUAUGACUGUUGUGCUAGUUUAGAUUAGAUUGUUCUCUUGUUUGCUAUCCUAAUAAUAUAUUGGCUCAUUUCAUUUGUUCUAGAAGUAUAUAUAUGUAUCAAGAUUUUCCCGUAAUCAGUUUAAGUACAUAUACUAUAUCUUUUAAUGUGUUCUAAAUAAUAUUAUAUUUAUGUUCUUAAGGUAUAGAUGCACCCCCAAAGAAAAACCUAAGCCAGUGGGAGCUCUAUCAACUUCCCAAGCAUGUUCCGGAUUUUGAUCUUAAUCUUAAAUUUCCCCCAACUUCAGACCUUUUUGUUAAACUGAUGUUCUAACUCUGAUUUAUGAGGAGCUAUCAGGGGUACAUUGGUGGUACAAGAUCGAUAGUCAUGCAGCUGAACUAACAGCAGGGUUCUGCAACCUAUGUAACCGUGAUGGUAUGCUGCAAUGAUGUCCAUGUUGAAGAAACAUGGAGUUGCUUUGACCUUCACGCCUGCAGAAGUGGACUUGUUGGAUCAGCUUGAGGAUUCUUCUAAACCACUUGUCGUUCCCGAAGGACUGGCUUGGCAAAAUUAAUGGGACUCGUCAUAACUUGGAAUGGAGCAGCCACUAACAACCCAACAUUUGCAGAAAUAAUUCUUGAGAAAUGACGAACAAGCAUAUAUACAUUGGAUCAUUCUCUCGAGAAUAUGCAUUGGAUCGUUCUGUCGGUCGUUGUGAAGGUGAUGAUUCUGGGAGUUGGUCAUGUAGGGGUGGGCCAUAGAUUUUUUUUAAUUCUAAAUAGUUCGUGGGAGUUGUAUACUCUAACUUUUAUUCAUUUAUUUUAAUUUAUUGUUCUAAGUUUGUUACUUAGUAGAAUUUGGAUGAUUAAAGUGUUAAAUGUUAAUAAUAAUUGGUAUUUGGAAAUUGGAAAUUGUUUGACUUUUUAUUUAA
Molecule: long non-coding RNA, 2933 nt
Organism: Spinacia oleracea (spinach)
Lineage: Eukaryota; Viridiplantae; Streptophyta; Magnoliopsida; Caryophyllales; Amaranthaceae
Exons: 4
Source: RefSeq, a predicted model, not a curated record